AGCGAACGUUUGCGGCGGGCCUAACACAUGCAAGUCGAACGCACUAGCAAUAGUGAGUGGCGCACGGGUGCGUAACACGUGGGUAAUCAACCCUUCAGCCUGGGAUAACGACUCGAAAGGGUCGCUAAUACCGGAUACGGCGCGAGAGGCUUCGGCUUCUCACGAGAAAGCCACGCAAGGGGCACUGAAGGACGAGCCUGCGGCCCAUCAGCUAGUUGGUGAGGUAAGAGCUCACCAAGGCUAAGACGGGUAGCUGGUCUGAGAGGAUGAUCAGCCACACUGGAACUGAGACACGGUCCAGACUCCUACGGGAGGCAGCAGUGGGGAAUAUUGCGCAAUGGGCGAAAGCCUGACGCAGCCACGCCGCGUGAGCGAUGAAGGCCUUCGGGUCGUAAAGACUCUGUGGGAGAGACGAAGAAGACCUGUGAAGAGCAGGCCUUGACGGUAUCU
Molecule: ribosomal RNA, 450 nt
Filed under: uncultured bacterium
Lineage: Bacteria
Description: bacterial SSU rRNA
Rfam family: Bacterial small subunit ribosomal RNA
Source: RNAcentral